Molecule: long non-coding RNA, 149 nt
Organism: Poecilia latipinna (sailfin molly)
Lineage: Eukaryota; Metazoa; Chordata; Actinopteri; Cyprinodontiformes; Poeciliidae
Exons: 2
Source: RefSeq, a predicted model, not a curated record
GUAAAAAAUGUGAGAAUGGCAAUUGGACAGCAUCCGAAGAAUGUCCAGGCAUUCCUUGUAAAGUUGAGCCAUUGAGUGUCGGACUGAGACGUGUUGGAAGUGCAUCCCAAAAUCUAGUGAAUCCUGGAGACAUAUUACGGUUUUUGUGU